AGAUAUGAGGGCGACCUGUGACAUCCAUCACCCUAUUGAUCGCCAGGGUUGAUUCAGCUGAUCUUGCUAGCUAGGCAGGUGUCCCCUUUCUCACCACUCCAUGUGCAUCCCUCUUAAAGCUAUGCACUCGGUGGAAGAGGACAACUAUUCCCAAUAGAGGAAGACCGGUCCUUCAGUCAAGGGUAUACCAGUAGCUGCACUCCCCUGCUAGAACCUCCAAACAAGCUCUCAAGGUCCAUUUUUAAGAGAACAUGGUAGUCAUGCUUCCGAGACUCCGGACAUUCCAAAUGAGUUGCUGCAUGUGGCAGUCUGCCUUUCU
Molecule: small nuclear RNA, 319 nt
Filed under: Callithrix jacchus (white-tufted-ear marmoset)
Lineage: Eukaryota; Metazoa; Chordata; Mammalia; Primates; Cebidae
Description: 7SK RNA
Rfam family: 7SK RNA
About the family: 7SK was discovered as an abundant small nuclear RNA in the mid-70s but a possible function has only recently been suggested. Two independent studies have found that 7SK RNA binds the CDK9/cyclin T complex (known as elongation factor P-TEFb).
Source: Rfam by way of RNAcentral